Long non-coding RNA from Pecten maximus, 859 nucleotides. RefSeq lists it as uncharacterized. The record is from RefSeq and is a predicted model, not a curated record. NCBI's taxonomy places the organism in Eukaryota, Metazoa, Mollusca, Bivalvia, Pectinida, Pectinidae. The transcript is spliced from 3 exons.
GGCCAUCUUCCCUGUCAAAAUUCUCGACGAUUUGACCGAUUGACCAGUUCAAUAAGGCGACCUACUGUCUAUACCGAGGAAGCCACGAAAACUUUUUACUUAUUACUUUUUAAACCAAAGUUUCGGUCCUUAGACGAUCACUAUGCGUAAACUGAUAGUUGUUUUGGCGAUUCCCGCACUACUCGUCUUUGUCCUCGCCCAGCGGGACCCCUUCGAUUUGUCGCCCGGGGUCAGUCCGGUAAACACCGUCUAUGGCGGACGGUUCGUUCAGAAUGACGUCAACCCGUACGAGUUGGACGAUGGCGGAGAUCCAUUUGACAAGCUUAACAAUGUCCUUCUCUUACUUUCCGGUCUGACACUGUAUUGGUACUUCUUCCUGAACGGAACCGGAAAUAUGAUAUCGACCACCGGAUAGACAUUACCGAUGGGAUGGUAUAUGCCUAUAUAGCUACACUCCAUACCAGUACGAUGACCAUAAGCUGACCAGUCCCUGACCGAACCUAACACUACCGACGUCCCUAACUACAAACCUGUGUAUCUUCUCUAACUUACUGAAUUGUCGUGUAGCAGCGCUGGGGAAGUGCCACUGCUAAUAUAAUGUCACUAAUGGGUUACAUAUAAACUCAAUCCAUUAUUAACAACUAAAACAUAAGCCAGAUCCGGAAACAUCCAGAUUCCGGAUAUUUAGUAAAAUAUAAAAAAAAAAAAAUCAAUUGCCGGUAACGAUUAUCCGGAAUAUUAUAUACCCAUACCACUCCACUCCUGACCAGUAAAUAACCCAUAAUCAUAACAGUCGUUAAGUUUCUGAAGUAACUAUUUACAGAGAUGACAAGGUUUCCUAAUAAAAUGUGUCUCACAG